This 171-nucleotide microRNA precursor is filed under the name Citrus sinensis (sweet orange). RNAcentral's name for it is "miR399f stem-loop (csi-MIR399f)". Its record names the gene csi-MIR399f. The stretch from base 20 to 151 matches the Rfam family "mir-399 microRNA precursor family". From Rfam's summary of the family: mir-399 was identified in both Arabidopsis thaliana and Oryza sativa computationally and was later experimentally verified. mir-399 is thought to target mRNAs coding for a phosphatase transporter. The mature sequence is excised from the 3' arm of the hairpin. The record is from miRBase by way of RNAcentral. Lineage: Eukaryota; Viridiplantae; Streptophyta; Magnoliopsida; Sapindales; Rutaceae.
UUCUGCGGGCCGCGGGUAGAGGAGAAUUCCAGGGCAAUUCUCCUUUGGCAGAAAAUAUUGCGCUUGUACGUACACGCACGGUGCAGUACUUGCACAGGUGCUAUAAUAUAUAAUAUUUGCCGCCAAAGGAGAAUUGCCCUGCCAUUCAACUACUACCAUAUGUAUGCAUAC